UUAACGGGGCCGGUCAGAGGGGCGGACGUGGCGGCGCACAGUCCAGCGGAUUCCUACCGGCCUUUCAGAGGCUGUUUGUCGGUUUACAUGCUGCAGCAUGCUUGGAUGAAAGCACAAGGAGUCGUGGUUGUUGCUUCGGAGAUGCCGCCCGCUCGGUGCGUAAAGCUGCGACUCGGUGUUUGGGUGAAGUUUUCAGCAGAACUCCGGAUCAGGGAGGCUGUUUCAGAGGAACUAAGUUUCAGCUCCUCUGCCUGGAUUAAAGCCCUGCUGAUACCACCGUUAUCCUGCUGCUUCUGCACAGCACUGAAAACCAGCAGGACUAGAGAUGUUUAAAGUGCUGCUCCUCACAGAUGCAUUUAAACCUGGAUCACACACACUUCCUCUGAGGAAUCUCCAACAUACCACUUCCCGCUAAGUGAAACUAUCUGGUGUCGUCAGCGGUCGAGGAACGCAGCAGAGCCCAACCCAAGAGGUUAUUUCUGUCCUCCAGCCUCCACCCGUCCAGGCAGCCGGACCUGGCAGCGUUCAGACGGAGCUGCUCCAAAAAGUCAAAGUAUCCAGGUGGAGCAGAGAGGGACACAGAGAUGGACAGAUUCUAUCGUCUGUGAUCUGACUCUCCAUCAGAGCUGUACCACCCAGUUCAUGCUGGAUGGAAACACUUUCUGCUGCCAGGAGACCACUUCAGUCCACUACCACCCCGAGGACCACCCAGUAGAUGUGGAGCUCAUUACUGCACGGUGUUCUGAAGGAUUUACAUCUGCUGUGUUUGUCUUCAUGCAGAUGAUGCUGCAGCAAAGACUGGAGUGUCAGAUGCAAACACAGAAGUGAAUAGACUGCAGCCUGAGAGAAGAAUAGAAGAGUUUAGGUGUGAUGGGCUUCAGCAGGCGGAAGAAAAGUAGCUUCAUAACUUCACACCAAACUGGAUUCUACAACGUUUCUAAACAUGAACUCUGUGGCAGAAGGAAGAAAAAUCUCACUGGUCUGACUGAAAAUGCAACAGAAGAAAUCUGGAAGAGGAAGAUGACAUUGGAUUGUGUAUGAUUUACUAAAACCCACCAAACGAGCCCUGAUGUGGAACCCUAAAGGAGAAAGACGAUUAACAUCCCACUAAACUACUGAUUAAACCACUUUUCAUUCUAAACAUA
This is a long non-coding RNA of Acanthochromis polyacanthus (spiny chromis), 1145 nucleotides long. RefSeq lists it as uncharacterized. Lineage: Eukaryota; Metazoa; Chordata; Actinopteri; Pomacentridae. The record is from RefSeq and is a predicted model, not a curated record. The transcript has 7 exons.